AUCAACUUUCGAUGGUAGGAUAGAGGCCUACCAUGGUGGUAACGGGUAACGGGGUGUUAGGGCACGACACCGGAGAGGGAGCCUGAGAAACGGCUACCACAUCCAAGGAUGGCAGCAGGCGCGCAAAUUACCCAAUCCCGACACGGGGAGGUAGUGACAAUAAAUAACAAUACGGGGUUCUUUUGGAUCUCGUAAUUGGAAUGAGUACAAUUUAAAUCUCUUAACGAGGAACAAUUGGAGGGCAAGUCUGGUGCCAGCAGCCGCGGUAAUUCCAGCUCCAAUAGCGUAUAUUAAAGUUGUUGCAGUUAAAAAGCUCGUAGUUGAAUUUCGGGGUCAGUAAGUUGGUCGUGCCACUGGUAUGUACUGGCUUCACUGAUUCCUCCUUCUUGAAGAACUGUUAUGCUAUUAAUUUAGUGUUGCAGGGAAACAGGACUGUUACUUUGAAAAAAUUAGAGUGUUUAAAGCAGGCUAACGCUUGAAUACAUUAGCAUGGAAUAAUGAAAUAGGACGUUUGAUCCUAUUUUGUUGGUUUCUAGGAUUGACGUAAUGAUUAAUAGGGAUAGUUGGGGGCAUUAGUAUUCAAUUGUCAGAGGUGAAAUUCUUGGAUUUAUUGAAGACUGACUACUGCGAAAGCAUUUGCCAAGGAUGUUUUCAUUAAUCAAGAACGAAAGUUAGGGGAUCGAAGACGAUCAGAUACCGUCGUAGUCUUAACCAUAAACUAUGCCGACUAGGGAUCGGAUGAUGUUAAUUUUUUAAUGACUCAUUCGGCGCCUUACGGGAAACCAAAGUGUUUGGGUUC
This 799-nucleotide ribosomal RNA is filed under the name uncultured Glomeromycotina. Its description in RNAcentral is "SSU rRNA". It matches the Rfam family "Eukaryotic small subunit ribosomal RNA", at positions 314 to 1114 of the family's 1831-position model. The record is from RNAcentral. Lineage: Eukaryota; Fungi; Glomeromycota.